AUUGCCUGCUCUCUUGUAUUGCUGAGGUUUGCUACCAACUAGGUGGGUUUGGCUAUGGAGCUUGUCUAGUGCCCUCUGUUGGUAGCAACAGCAAUAUGCACUACCUGAAUUGCAAGACUGGUUCAUUUGCAUAUUUGGGUAGAUUUGCAUAUUGCUAAUUCUGCAGGCAGGUGAGAUAUUUACUGUUAUAUUGUCUCCCCCACCCCUUUAAUUGUUUAUAGUGUGUGUGUGUGUGUACUGUGUAAUGUAUUGCCUGCUCUCUUGUAUUGCUGAGGUUUGCU
Non-coding RNA from Pelobates cultripes (western spadefoot toad), 281 nucleotides. Lineage: Eukaryota; Metazoa; Chordata; Amphibia; Anura; Pelobatidae. The record is from the annotation of a GenBank genome assembly.